UUUUUUUUUUUUUUUUGCAUAAUUUGAAAGGCUUUUCAAACAGAACUUAGUUUUCUUGAAUAGAGGGCAAUAGGAUCUCUCUUGAUGUAAUCAGAGGCAGCACUAAUCCUCUCCAGUUAGUGGCGGUCUCAACGUGUAUAACUUUGGAUAUUUUACCUGUGUCUUUCUGACUCUAAAGAUAAUUUAAAGAGAACAUUCAACAAAUUAAAAAGGAAAUUCAUAUUCAGGAAUAUAGUUCAAAAAGCACUACCUCCUGCAUCAACAAUGUGGACAAGAGAAAGUGAGCAUUUUUGGACACAGUUAAUAUCAUCCUCAAUAUACCUGGAAGCAAUAAACCAAGCCUGCAGCUUGUAUGGAUCAGUACAGCUGCACUAAUUCCAGCAGUAACAGGUCAAUUUGCAUGACCUAACAAUCUGGCACAAAUCUGUUAUGAGUUUUUCAAGCUUUAGUUUUUGACAUAUAACUAGCUUAGAGAAGAGACGACAUGAGUUGACUCAAACAUAGCAUUUGUGGUGGUACACAUCCAUCAAAAGUUUACAGAUCUGAAAAAUAAAAAACAAGCUCCAGUGCUAGGGUUCUAAAAUCUAGUUAAAGAUAAUACACUAACUACUUUUGAAAAGACCAAAAUGGAACAGCAUUUUUUCUAAACUACAAUGAUUUAUACAUACAUAACUCUAUUUUCUUGUGUACUCACAGGGGGAGAAAUUUAAAGUUAGAACAUGGGAAACAAGGUACCUCACUGAUUUUAAGUCCAACAUUUAAAUAUUUCUGAGGUUCACAAAGCCCUGCAGGCACCACAGUUCACUCUAAGUUAUGCUGCGAAAGCUUGCAGAGGAAAAGAAACCUUUAUCCCAGAACACCCUAUGGCACCAUAAUCAUGACAUGCUACCAUGCUCAGAGCAAGCCUGAGCCACAGCCCCCAUGAGGCAUGGGUCAUUAGUGAAAGGGGAAAGCAGUACUACUUUACUCUCUCUUUACCCAUCCUUCUUCCAUUUUUGAAAAGUGGACCUUUCUCUAAAAAAUGAGAAGUGUAAGGCCAAAUUUUAGGAUCCUGAGAAGGCACAGAUGCUACCUUGCUGUUUAGACUAGAUGCCUAAAUUCCCAGGAGUUAAAGCCUUAUGCCAUUACUGACCAGUUGAAAUUUUUGCCUACCUACUGUGCCAGUAUUCCAUAUUUCAAUCCUGGCCCUUCACAUACACUGUAUAUAAAAAUCUGCAUAUAAAAUAUAUAAAAUAUAUUUAAUUUCACUUGGCAAAGGGUAUGUAAAGAUUAGAAUUUAAACACACAUUACAAGGCUUCGAUUAUUCUCUGAAUCUAAGUUAAGUCUUGGAGAGAUCUGAAUAUAGACUUGAACAUUUUAGAAUAUAUUCUUUUUUUUUUCUUUUCAUUGACAUGCUCCCCUGGCCUUUUUUAAAAAAUUGUAUCCGAAAUUUUCUAUUGAAAUGGAAUUUAAUCACAAUGCACAUUUAUAUGCCUUAUACCGCUGACCAGAUUAUUAACCUAAAAUAUUAAUCAGAAAGCAAUACCUCAUAGUUCUUCUGACAUGUCAGAGUCCCAGAUUGAGCCUCCUAUCUAAAGCAGGAAUUGGAAAAUUGCUGAAGCAUUUACAUGUCUCAAAAGUAAUUCAAAACUCAAGGACGCAAGGACAAGGAAAAGCCUUUCCAACACCC
This is a long non-coding RNA of Strigops habroptila (Kakapo), 1670 nucleotides long. The record is from Ensembl. NCBI's taxonomy places the organism in Eukaryota, Metazoa, Chordata, Aves, Psittaciformes, Psittacidae.